GAUGAAUGCUGGCGGCGUGCCUAAUACAUGCAAGUCGAGCGAACAGACGAGGAGCUUGCUCCUCUGACGUUAGCGGCGGACGGGUGAGUAACACGUGGAUAACCUACCUAUAAGACUGGGAUAACUUCGGGAAACCGGAGCUAAUACCGGAUAAUAUAUUGAACCGCAUGGUUCAAUAGUGAAAGACGGUUUUGCUGUCACUUAUAGAUGGAUCCGCGCCGCAUUAGCUAGUUGGUAAGGUAACGGCUUACCAAGGCAACGAUGCGUAGCCGACCUGAGAGGGUGAUCGGCCACACUGGAACUGAGACACGGUCCAGACUCCUACGGGAGGCAGCAGUAGGGAAUCUUCCGCAAUGGGCGAAAGCCUGACGGAGCAACGCCGCGUGAGUGAUGAAGGUCUUCGGAUCGUAAAACUCUGUUAUUAGGGAAGAACAAAUGUGUAAGUAACUAUGCACGUCUGGACGGUACCUAAUCAGAAAGCCACGGCUAACUACGU
RNAcentral lists this ribosomal RNA (496 nucleotides) under uncultured bacterium. RNAcentral describes it as "partial 16S ribosomal RNA". It matches the Rfam family "Bacterial small subunit ribosomal RNA", at positions 28 to 506 of the family's 1533-position model. The record is from RNAcentral.